GAAAAAGAUAUGACAUUUCUUUCAUAAAAUAUUAUUGUUAGCGUAAUAAAAAUUGUCCAAAAAAUGUAACAACGUGUAUAUCAAUUUGUUCCAUGUCGAAAAGAAAAUUAUUAUCUGUGUCAGUUUUUUGGCACAAGUUUGGAACGAUCGAGAAAACAUCGUUUUCAAUAUCGCGGAAAAUCGAAGUGCCGGGACAAUUAAAUUGCAAUUUGAAUCGGCGUGUUACAGAAUGCUAUUUACUCUGCUGACUGUUCGAUGCUAAAUUACCGUUCAUCGUCAAUCCGGAAAGCUGCAAUAUUAGCGGCUAAUAAAUGAAUGGAUUUUAUCAUACGUCAAUAGACAAAGAACGAACAAAUGAACGAACGAACGAGCGAACGUUUCCAUUAAAAACGAUUGCAAGUCAGAUUCAACUAAAUUAUGGGGUACAAAAGCAAAUUAGGUUAUAGAGAGAAAAAAAGAAAUUUCAAACUCGUUCAAUAAAAUGAAAAUAAACUCUGUUCAGCUUACGAAACUCAGGAGAUAAAUUGUUUCAUUAUCAAUGAGCCACGUUUGUCUAAUCGUACAUCCUUUUCCUCUGCUUCAGACAUAGCAACGUAAUUAUGUUGUCGGUAGUAUUAAUUUGCGAUGAAACUUAUAUUAUACGUAAAGAGGAUUAAUGAGUUAAAGUUAAAUGAAAUGGUUAAUUGUGGUAAAAAAAUACUGUAUUAAAUACUUUCGAUUAAGUAUGUUGGAAUGUUCAUAAAAGAAAAUAGUAAAAACAAAAAAAAAA
Molecule: long non-coding RNA, 769 nt
Organism: Polistes dominula (European paper wasp)
Lineage: Eukaryota; Metazoa; Arthropoda; Insecta; Hymenoptera; Vespidae
Source: RefSeq, a predicted model, not a curated record